Molecule: non-coding RNA, 947 nt
Filed under: Gymnothorax meleagris (turkey moray)
Lineage: Eukaryota; Metazoa; Chordata; Actinopteri; Anguilliformes; Muraenidae
Description: 12S ribosomal RNA
Rfam family: Bacterial small subunit ribosomal RNA
Source: RNAcentral
CAAAAGCCUGGUCCUGACUUUAACAUCAGUUCUAACCUAGAUUACACAUGCAAGUACCCGCAACCCCGUGAGGAUGCCCUUUACCUUCCGGUAGGAAAAAAGGAGCGGGCAUCAGGCACACACUAGUAGCCCAAAACGCCUUGCUCAGCCACACCCCCAAGGGAACUCAGCAGUGACAAACAUUAAGCCAUAAGCGAAAGCUUGACUUAGCCAGGGUUAAGAGGGCCGGUAAAACUCGUGCCAGCAACCGCGGUUAUACGAGAGGCCCAAAUUGAUAAAUCACGGCGUAAAGUGUGAUUAGAGACAAAACCGAACUAGAACCAAAUACCCCUUAUGCAGUCAUACGCCAUGGGGGUCACGAAGACCAACAACGAAGGUGGUUCUACAAAACUUGAACUCACGACAGCUAGGACACAAACUGGGAUUAGAUACCCCACUAUGCCUGACCUUAAACCAAGAUGACAAGACUACAAACCGCAUCCGCCAGGGAACUACGAGCCCCGCUUAAAACCCAAGGGACUUGGCGGUGCCUCAAACCCACCUAGAGGAGCCUGUCCUAUAACCGAUAAUCCCCGUUAAACCUCACCCCUCCUUGUUAAUUCCGCCUAUAUACCGCCGUCGCCAGUUUACCUUUUGAAAGAACAAAAGUAAGCAAAACGGGCACCACCCAACACGUCAGGUCGAGGUGUAGCGAAUGGAGGGGGAAGAGAUGGGCUACAUUUUCUGACAACAGAACACUACGGAGAGUGCAAUGAAAAGUGCACGGACGAAGGUGGAUUUAGCAGUAAAAAGAAAGAAGAGAGUUCUUUUGAAACCGGCCCUGAGGCGCGUACACACCGCCCGUCACUCUCCUCGAAAAACAAGACGACAAUAAAUAAAAAAAUAGAAAAGAGAGAGGAGGCAAGUCGUAACAUGGUAAGUGUACCGGAAGGUGCACUUGGAAGAAU